This 460-nucleotide ribosomal RNA is filed under the name uncultured bacterium. RNAcentral describes it as "partial 16S ribosomal RNA". It matches the Rfam family "Bacterial small subunit ribosomal RNA", at positions 338 to 795 of the family's 1533-position model. The record is from RNAcentral.
CCUACGGGCGGCAGCAGGGAGGAAUAGUGGUCAAUGGACGAGAGUCUGAACCAGCCAAGUAGCGUGAAGGAUGACUGCCCGAUGGGUUGUAAACUUCGUUUAUAUGGGAAUAAAAUGUUCCACGUGUGGGAUUUUGUAUGUACCAUAUGAAUAAGGAUCGGCUAACUCCGUGCCAGCAGCCGCGGUAAUACGGAGGAUCCGAGCGUUAUCCGGAUUUAUUGGGUUUAAAGGGAGCGUAGGGGGAUUGUUAAGUCAGUUGUGAAAGUUUGCGGCUCAACCGUAAAAUUGCAGUUGAAACUGGCAGUCUUGAGUACAGUAGAGGUGGGCGGAAUUCGUUGUGUAGCGGUUAAAUGCUUAGAUCUCCCGAAGAACUCCGAUUGCGAAGGCAGUUCACUGGACUGCAACUGACACUGAGGCUCGAAAGUGUGGGUAUCAAACAGGAUUAGCUACCCCAGUAGUC